GUAUUAUUGUUACAUUGUUCACAUUCACAAAACUUGAAUGGAUUUAAGAUGUAGCCACCGCAAGGAUGGCGUGAGUGUGCACUCUGCCGGCAUGACACCGACACUUUUUCAAUGAUGAUCCUUCCGCAGGUUCACCUACGGAAA
This 144-nucleotide unclassified non-coding RNA is filed under the name uncultured fungus. RNAcentral describes it as "sequence contains ITS1". The record is from RNAcentral. Lineage: Eukaryota; Fungi.